RNAcentral lists this long non-coding RNA (209 nucleotides) under Mytilus galloprovincialis (Mediterranean mussel). The record is from RNAcentral. Lineage: Eukaryota; Metazoa; Mollusca; Bivalvia; Mytilida; Mytilidae.
AUUUUUGGGGGCGAAAAAUUUCACGAUUUCAUUGAAUAACUCAAUAUUGAAGGUAUACGAAAUAAUUUGGCGGUUAAUAUUUUGAUGUUUAUUAUUUUGGCGGAUUCAAAACUUUUAUCAAUACCUUUGCAUGUGCAUUUUAAAUUGGCGGAAUUUAUUUUUGUUCUUUCCGCAAAAAUAAGCGAAAAUUUACACCCCUUGAAAAUAAC